Molecule: transfer RNA, 76 nt
Filed under: Thermorudis peleae
Lineage: Bacteria; Pseudomonadati; Thermomicrobiota; Thermomicrobia
Also listed under: 1 other name
Description: tRNA-Gly
Rfam family: tRNA
About the family: Transfer RNA (tRNA) molecules are approximately 80 nucleotides in length. Their secondary structure includes four short double-helical elements and three loops (D, anti-codon, and T loops). Further hydrogen bonds mediate the characteristic L-shaped molecular structure. tRNAs have two regions of fundamental functional importance: the anti-codon, which is responsible for specific mRNA codon recognition, and the 3' end, to which the tRNAs corresponding amino acid is attached (by aminoacyl-tRNA synthetases). tRNAs cope with the degeneracy of the genetic code in two manners: having more than one tRNA (with a specific anti-codon) for a particular amino acid; and 'wobble' base-pairing, i.e. permitting non-standard base-pairing at the 3rd anti-codon position.
Source: RNAcentral
GCGGGAGUAACUCAGUUGGCAGAGUGCCGGCCUUCCAAGCCGGUUGUCGCGGGUUCGAAUCCCGUCUCCCGCUCCA